Molecule: ribosomal RNA, 1130 nt
Filed under: human gut metagenome
Description: bacterial LSU rRNA
Rfam family: Bacterial large subunit ribosomal RNA
Source: RNAcentral
UGUUUACCAAAAACACAGGAGCGUGCGAAGGCGCAAGCCGCUGUAUACGCUCUGACGCCUGCCCGGUGCCGGAAGGUUAAGAGGAUCCGUCAGGCUUCGGCCGAAGCGGUGAAUUCAAGCCCCGGUAAACGGCGGUGGUAACUAUAACCAUCCUAAGGUAGCGAAAUUCCUUGUCGGGUAAGUUCCGACCUGCACGAAUGGCGUAACGACUUCCCCACUGUCUCGACCAGGAGCUCGGCGAAAUUGCAGUACGAGUAAAGAUGCUCGUUAAGCGCAGAAGGACGAAAAGACCCCGGGACCUUUACUAUACCUUGGUAUUGGCAUUCGGUGUGGAUUGUGUAGCAUAGGCGGAAGGCUUCGAAGCCACGGCGCCAGCCGCGGUGGAGCCGCAAGGUGAAAUACCGCUCUGUUCGCAUUGGAUGUCUAACCUCGACCAGUCAUCCUGGUCAGGGACAGUGCCUGGCGGGUAGUUUAACUGGGGCGGUUGCCUCCCAAAGAGUAACGGAGGCGCUCAAAGGUUCCCUCAGCCCGGUUGGCAAUCGGGUGGCGAGUGUAAGUGCACAAGGGAGCUUGACUGCGAGACUGACGGGUCGAGCAGGGACGAAAGUCGGAACUAGUGAUCCGGUGCCGGUGUACGGACGCGGCAUCGCUCAACGGAUAAAAGGUACCCCGGGGAUAACAGGCUGAUCAUUCCCAAGAGUCCAUAUCGACGGGAUGGUUUGGCACCUCGAUGUCGGCUCGUCGCAUCCUGGGGCUGGAGCAGGUCCCAAGGGUUCGGCUGUUCGCCGAUUAAAGCGGCACGCGAGCUGGGUUCAGAACGUCGUGAGACAGUUUGGUCUCUAUCCUCUGCGCUCGUCGGAAUGUUGAGGAGGCCUGCCCAUAGUACGAGAGGACCUGGGUGGACGAACCUCUGGUAUGCCGGUUGUCACGCCAGUGGCACGGCCGGUUGGCUACGUUCGGAAGGGAUAACCGCUGAAAGCAUCUAAGCGGGAAGCCUGCUCCAAGAUAAGCAUUCCAUAGGACUACGGGUCCUUGAAGUCCCCAUGCAGAACACGUGGUUGAUAGGCCGGACGUGGAAGCCCCGCGAGGGGUGGAGCCGACCGGUACUAACGGACGAAAGGCAACACAAC